RNAcentral lists this transfer RNA (76 nucleotides) under Uliginosibacterium flavum. RNAcentral's name for it is "tRNA-Lys". It matches the Rfam family "tRNA". Rfam says of the family: Transfer RNA (tRNA) molecules are approximately 80 nucleotides in length. Their secondary structure includes four short double-helical elements and three loops (D, anti-codon, and T loops). Further hydrogen bonds mediate the characteristic L-shaped molecular structure. tRNAs have two regions of fundamental functional importance: the anti-codon, which is responsible for specific mRNA codon recognition, and the 3' end, to which the tRNAs corresponding amino acid is attached (by aminoacyl-tRNA synthetases). tRNAs cope with the degeneracy of the genetic code in two manners: having more than one tRNA (with a specific anti-codon) for a particular amino acid; and 'wobble' base-pairing, i.e. permitting non-standard base-pairing at the 3rd anti-codon position. RNAcentral also lists the same sequence under 5 other names. Lineage: Bacteria; Pseudomonadati; Pseudomonadota; Betaproteobacteria; Rhodocyclales; Zoogloeaceae. The record is from RNAcentral.
GGGGGUAUAGCUCAGUUGGUAGAGCAGUUGACUCUUAAUCAAUUGGUCGUAGGUUCGAAUCCUACUGCCCCUACCA